UUUCUCGUAGGCCUGCUAUGAGAACAAUGAAUGGCAGAAGGGUGAGUAAUGCAUAGGAAUCUACCUAGUAGUAUAGGAUAGCCACUAGAAAUGGUGGGUAAUACUGUAUAAUCCCUGCGGGGGAAAGAUUUAUCGCUACAUGAUGAGCCUAUGUUAGAUUAGCUAGUUGGUGGGGUAAUGGCCUACCAAGGCAGUGAUCUAUAGCUGGUCUGAGAGGAUGAUCAGCCACACUGGAACUGAGACACGGUCCAGACUCCUACGGGAGGCAGCAGUGGGGAAUAUUGGACAAUGGGCGCAAGCCUGAUCCAGCUAUGCCGCGUGAGUGAGGAAGGCCUUAGGGUUGUAAAACUCUUUCAGUGGGGAAGAUAAUGACGGUACCCACAGAAGAAGUCCCGGCAAACUCCGUGCCAGCAGCCGCGGUAAUACGGAGGGGGCAAGCGUUGUUCGGAAUUAUUGGGCGUAAAGGGCAUGUAGGUGGUUUGGUAAGUUAAAGGUGAAAUGCCAGGGCUAAACCCUGGAGCUGCUUUUAAUACUGCCAGACUGGAGUCCGGGAAAAAAAAACAU
This 564-nucleotide ribosomal RNA is filed under the name Anaplasma bovis. RNAcentral describes it as "bacterial SSU rRNA". It matches the Rfam family "Bacterial small subunit ribosomal RNA", at positions 69 to 664 of the family's 1533-position model. Lineage: Bacteria; Pseudomonadati; Pseudomonadota; Alphaproteobacteria; Rickettsiales; Anaplasmataceae. The record is from RNAcentral.